This 440-nucleotide long non-coding RNA is filed under the name Struthio camelus australis. RNAcentral's name for it is "lncRNA (ENSSCUG00000017769.1)". Lineage: Eukaryota; Metazoa; Chordata; Aves; Struthioniformes; Struthionidae. The record is from RNAcentral.
CAAAUAGGUGCAAUCUGAAGUUCUGUCACCAAAGGCCUCCUGCUGCAACAUCUUCAGCAGUGAAAUGAAGUAAAGAAUUUCCUCACUCUGCUGCCCUUUUGACUGCCUGCUGAAUCUGAAUGAACAUGUCCACAGAGCUCUGAAGAGACCCCCGUCCAGGAAGACGGAGCCUUCUCCAGGUGGACCUGAGCUGCUGCCACAUCUUAAACCCCACUCGACACACAGCACACCCAAGCCUUUACCUUCAAAUUAAGCGCUGACUGCGGCAAGCAUUUCUUUGCAUACCUCUCUGAUUUUCAGUGUAAAAUAAAAUACUGGUGGAGUGUGAUUCUAUCCCUCUCUCUAAAACAUGGAGACACAGAAACAACAAAUAUAGGACUGGCACUUAAACACCUGGAGCACCUGCCCUGACCUGCGUACGUAGACAUGGUACUCUGGCA